GCGUCGGUAGUGCAUUGGUUCGAGCACGCGCCUCCGCAUAGGGUGAAGUAUGGGUUCAAUUCCCACCUGACGCA
Non-coding RNA from Parelaphostrongylus tenuis, 74 nucleotides. The record is from the annotation of a GenBank genome assembly. NCBI's taxonomy places the organism in Eukaryota, Metazoa, Nematoda, Chromadorea, Rhabditida, Metastrongylidae.